AGAAUGUAAGGCACAGGCCGCAGGAGAAGUGCAUGGAGAAGGGAGAGAAAUUGUACCUGGCCUCCUGAAAGACGCAGCCUCUGAAAUGAAUAUUGAAGACUGGGGAGGAUUUAAACAGGUAGAGACGGAUGGAAUGGACACAGGGCUCGGGAGCAGCGCCAGCCCGACAUCGGCGGAGGAGCACCGGAAGUUCUGCAGCACUGGCUUUCUUUGCUCUUCCACCUAUGCAAGCUCCUUCUCUCUUGUGGCUUGCCGAGCCUGGUUAGCUCUGAGACCGGAAGUUCUGAAGUCAGCUGGCAUCCUACAUCUGUGCAACCUACUUCUCUCCCCAUCCCACCACAGAAACCAGAGCCUCGAGGCUUUUGGCUUGGGUGCUGCCUUCACAGUUUAGGUUUUGGUAAGAAGAAAGCUUAUCUUCAUGUCAUGAGAAAGAAAAAAAAAUGUAUCUUUACGUAACGAGCUGAAAGAACAAAACAAGUAUACCUAAGCCAAGUACAUGCUAUCUUUAUUUCUUUAUUUCCACACUGAAAUUUAGUCAGGGAUAAAACUUACUUUUUUAAUCACACGAAGUUUGAAAAAUAGGAAGUACUAUGGGAAACACCUAAUGCAUCAAAACCCCUGUGCAUUUUAUCUUUGUCUUAUGUUUGCUGGAUUUUAAUCUUAGUAGGUUUCCUGUUGCAACAAUACAAAAACAGAUAAAGAAAAAACUUAAUAACCUUUCCUACCACAAAUGUGAACAGCCCGUGUUCUUGUUGGUAGGUACAGAUACAGAUAUAUGAGAUUAUCGUUAUUUAUUAUCAGAAAAUGGGAUUUUACUAUUUCCCACACACACACUUUUUUUGAGAUGGGGGUCUUGCUAUAUUGUCCAGGGUGGUCUCAAAUUCUUGGGUUCAAGCGAUCCUCCCACCCAAGUAUCUGUAAUCCAAGUAGUCUGGAUUACAGAUGCAUACCACCAUGCCUGGCUUAUUUCCCUCUCUUACAAUUUGCAAAAAUAAUGAUGUACUGAGGACAUCCCCCAGGUCGAUAGCUACAGGAUUAAAUCAUUUCUCUUAAUAACUAUAUAUAAUACUAUUCCAUUGUAUGGAUAUGCCAUAACAUAUUCAAUUAUUCCCCUUCGAAUGGGCAUUUGGGUUGUUUCUAGUUUGUACCACAACAAACAAGCCUCUAUCAGUGCUUAUCCACAUUGCACAGAGAAGUGCUACCAGAGCCAAAAGCAUUUUCUGAGUACCUACAAUAUGCUAUUUUUAUGAAAUAUACAAAAGAAAUGUGUGACAUAGUCCUUUCCUAAAAGACUGCCAAAUAUAGUUGGGGAAAUAAGCCUAACCCACACAAAACACUUAAACUGUGUAAGACAGUACUGAACCAUGUUCUACAGACCUCAUGCAAAUGGAUGCCAAGUUGUCCUUCUGCACAAUGACAGAUUGGAGAGGUAAUCUGGAGGUGCCUUUAGCCAUAAUAUUCUAGGAGCCUUCUUGAUUCAGAAAAGGGGAAGCAUGAAAGGCUAAGAAGCCAGAGUGGUGUCUCUGGAGGAGGCAGGACUUGAACAAGGCCUGAACAUGGUUUAGAUGGAGGAAGGAAAAAAAUGUAUUUUGGAAUGACAAAUGAGGCAGGGCACAGCACUGACUUUAGACAUGUAUAUGCUCAGGAGAAUGUCCUGAGUUACAGCAUUUCUAAACACCCUCUUCUCAUACUCCUCCCACCACCACCACUCGCCAGACUCUGCUUAAAGAUAUAAAAAAUUCCCAAGCUUGGCUGCUGCAGAACAUCACACUAACACUAAUUUAAAAUGCACUACUUCCAGACAGCACGAGCUUGAAAUUACCUCCAAAUCUCUUCCUUCCCUGUCCUUCUCAUGCCCUAUGCUACCCCCUGCCAAAACACAUACAACGCUUGCUGUGCCCUUCAAACAACAGUAGUCAUUUAAGCUGCUCCUGCCCAUCUGGAAAAUAAUAUGAAUAACAUGAAAGAAAGCAAUAAUGAAGUGACUGGAAUUUAGCAACCAAAAAGACCUCAGUUCUUUUGAUAAUCAAAAACUUUGUUAAAAUGUUUACAUCGACAGUCACUACAGUGUUGGUCUUUCACUCUAUGUUGCAAUAGUAUGUUUGCAACUUCUCCAAAUCCAUUUAAAUGAAAAUAUUUAAUAACAAGUUUUAAAUUUUAUCAAUUGUUAAAUAUGAUUUGAAAGUUUAGUGUAUGUCCUGAUAUAUAGUAUGCCUUGAGACUGAAUAUAAGUAGCUCUAUGGGAAAAUUCUGAAAAUGAAUUAGGAAUAAGUAGAUUAAUGUGCUUUUAGUCUCAAAGACUAGAGAUUAAAAAGGCAUGGGUAAUUUUUAACUGAGAGGUGGUGCCACAGAGAAGUCUAUGAUUCUCUCUUUUUCAUUACCCAUCCCAGUUUAAAAUUAGCUUGCAGCAUGUUUUUUAAACAUUAGGAAAACAAGAUGCACUCCCAGAAUGUUCAUGUGAAGGGCACGUGUGAAGACAUAAUCUUGACAGUCAUAUUACAGAAAAUAAGGGAGUGAGUUACUGAGUUUUUAACAAGGAGAGUAAGUUACUGAGUUUAAAUAAAACCUAAUUUGCUGUGUGUUUUUAUUUAGCAGAAUUUUGAAUGCCCGUUGCCUCCGUGGCACUAGGCAACCACAAAGGCAACUGAGGUCUGAGACAAGGCAUCAGGGAGAUAGGAUCCUUUGGCCUCCUCUGGCCCAACUGACAUAACUGAGGUUGGUUCCUUUCCUGGUAUCCACACUCCCCUCUCCUCACCAACAAUCCCCCUGACGUUGGCUCUGAAUGAUGUGGAGACCCUGUUAGUGUCGUCGCAUGUUAAAUCUAGAUUUGGGAAUCUGCACUGCACACCUUAUGUCAAAACUCAGAGCUGUUGUUUUUAUAUUUUGUUUUUGUGUUUUGUGUUUUUAUUUCAGAUGCAGGGGAUACAUGUGCAGGUUUGUUACACAGGUAUACUGUGUGAUGCUAAGGUUUGGGCUUCUAAUGAUCCCAUCGCCCAAGUAGUGAACAUAGUGCCCCAUAGGUAGUUUUUAAUCUCUUGCCCUCCUCCCAUCCUGCCCCCUUUUGGGAUUCACAGUGUUUACUAUUCCCAUCUUUGUGUCCUUGUGUACCCAAUGCUCAGCUCCCACUUGUAAGAACAUUCAUAGCCACUGUUACCUCAUCACCAUGUAACAUUCCAAGGGUUUAAAAUGCACAAUACAAUCAUAGUUCUUUUGAGAUCAUGGUUGACUGUCCUGACAAAGGAGAACUUUUAGCUGCCCCUCCUCCACCCAGGGAUAGAAGUGGACUUGGUGAAAGGCAGGUGGCCUGUGACAGCAGUGGCCUGCCCAGGCACGCAGAGGCUUGCUCUCACUUUUAGAGUACUUGGUACAUUUGGCACUGUGCAGCAACUUUUUGCUUCUUGAAUUGUGACCAAUCAAAAAUGAUGAAACAAGGCCAUUGAAGGGAGUGGAAAGAAAUUAACUGAUGCGCCAGGAGUCCUGGUCUACCCUUGAUCAGUAGGUGUUACAUAACGGAGGGCAAGUCACAGAGCAGGCAGAAACCUCUGUUUUCUUACCAGAAAAGAUAGGUCCAAAAUGAUCGACUCCUCCAAGAACAAUAAGGGAAAAGAUGAGAUUUCAGAUGGAAAAAAAAAAAACCCAAUAAGGGGUGGUCUAGGUGACUAUAAUCUCACUCUGCCAGAAGAGCUAGACGACCAAGCUUGAUGCACACAGCAGGGGAAGUAGCAGGACCAAGCUGCUCAGAACUGGUCAGAGUAGUGGACAAUUUCGUGCAGAUCUUACAGGCCUCUUUUUUGUUUUUUGUUUGUUUUAAGAUAGGGUCUUGCUCUGUCCCCCAGGCUGGAGUGCAGUGGCAUAACCACAGUUCACUGCAAGCUCGACCUCCCUGGGGUCAGGUGAGCCUCCCCCAUCAGCCUCCCAAAUAGCUGGGACUACAGGUGUGCACCACCACACCCAGCUAAUUUUUCUAAAAAAUUUUUGUAGAGAGGGGGUCUCGUCAUGUUGGACAGGCUGGUCUUGAACUCCUGGGCUCAAGUGAUCCACCCGCCUUAGCCUCCUAAAGUGCUGGGAUUACAGGUGUGAGCCACCACGCCUGGCCUUUUUUUUUUUUAAGACCUAAAUGGAUGCAGAAGAAAUUUGGCUGAUGUUUUUUGGCUGGAUUGCAUAUCAAAAUCCCCUGGGAAACUAGGUCCCACCCCAAUAAGCCUGAGGUAGUGUUAGGGAUGCAAAUCCUAGCACAAGCGCUUGCAAAGGCUCUCCAGGUGACUCAUACAGCUUCAACAUACAUGCAGCACUGAAUCUGAUUCUUCAUCUCAAUACCUUCGAAAUCCUACUCCUUUGACCCCACAGUCCCUCUUCAGGGAGGCUGUCCUAUAGAAAUAAUGAGAUAUACAGACAAUUUUUGUAUAAAGAUGUUCAUAACAACACUAUUUAUGACAGGAAAAAUUAAAAGGGAACCAAUGUCAAAGCUAGGGAAAUUAUUGAGCAAGUUAUAAUAUAUAAACCAAAAAAGAUAUACAAAUGGCCAAAAAGCACAUGAAAAGAUGCUUAACAUCAGUCUUUAGAGAAUAUAAAUCUCUAAGAACUACUUCACCAUUUCUGGUGUGUGUGAGAUACCAUUUCACACACACUAGAUGGCUAAAACAAAACAAACAAACGAAACCCAGAAAACAGUGUUGGGAAGAAUGUGAAGAAAUUGGAACAUUGCUGAUUGGAAUGUAUAAUAGUGCAGCUGCUGUGGAAUUUUAUUUAGCUAUUUAGCUUGGUAGUUCCUCAAUAAGUUAAACAUGGAAUUACCAUAUAAUUCAGAAAUUCCACUGCUAUGUGUAUAUCCCAAAGAACUGAAAAUAGGUGUUGAAGCAAAAACGUGUACCUAAAUGUCCACAGCAGUACUAUUCACAACAGUCAAAAGGUAGAAACAACCCAAGUGUCCACCAACCGGCAUCAACUGAUGAAUGGAUAAACCAAAUGUGGUACAGCCGUAGAGUAAAAUAUUACUCAGCCAUGAAAAGGAACAGCGUAUAAUGAUAGAUGCUACAACAUGGAUGAACCUUGGAAACAUUAUGCUAAGUGCAAGAAGCCAGACACAAAAGGCCACAGGCUGUAUGAUUCCAUUUAUAUGAAAUAGCCACACAUAGAAACAGAAAGCUGAUUAGCAGUUACCAGGGAUCGGGAGGGAACGGGAAGUGACUGCUUCAUGGAUACAGAGUUUCAUUUGGGGUGGUGAAAAUGUUCUGGAAUUAGUAAUAAUGGCUGCACAACACUGUGAAUGUACCUUUUAAAAUGGUUAAAAUGGUAAAUAUCAUGUUAGGUGUAUUUUGCCACAAUAAAAAAAAUUAUGAUACAUAAAACAGAAUAUUUUACUUAUUAAAAUUGGCCUUUUGAGGGAGUUUAAUGAGAUGAGGAAAAUGUGGAAAAAAAGCAGUCUAUGAAACUAUAUACAGUUUGAUCUCAGCUUCAUAGCAUAUAAAUAUGCACAGAAAAACAAGGACUAGAAGAAAAUUUAUAAAAAUGCUAAACAGGGUUAUUGGCAGAUACACUUUCUUUUUUUGUAAUUUCCAAAUUUUCUAUAAUAUUAUGUUUAUUAUUAUUGUUAACUAUCAUUUUUGUAAACAUAAAAAGAAAAAUUUUCUUUAAAGAUGGGACCACUGACACUUUGCAUCACAGCUAGGAAAAGAAAAUGAGAAUAACGAAGGGUCUGGAAACAUGUGACAUAAUGAUUCAGGUAGGGGGCUAGACAAGAGCAUAGAGUGGUGAAGGCUGCAACAAUCUGGAGAAUUUAUGUCCUGUCCAAAGAUAAAAUUGUGGCUCCAGAUCUUUUGAGUUUUCAAGAGAUGCCAGAGCUCCAGACGUUUCAGUGAAAUGCCCUGAUUUUUAAAUGUUGGCAACUUAUUCAAUAUUUUUCAAACACCACAGGCCAAACAAAACACAUCUGUGGACCGGAUGUAGCCCGCAGGCUCCAGUUAGCAAAUUCUAGUUUAUAAGAACAGGAAUGUUUAGGCUGGAAAAGAAAAACCUUUGAAGGGAUAUAGUACUAGUAACAUCAAGUAUCUGAAAAAUGACUAUGUGGAAGAUGGUGUAGGUUAAUUCAUGUGUCUCUAGAAGGCAGAACCCGAUCUAAAGGCUGGGUGUUAUCAGAGAAGCAGAAUGGGGCACAGUCUAUAAGGGAGAGGUCUCUAUUAGAGCAGCUGUCCAGCAAGAAACAGCUUCAAAAUGCAGCGAGCUGCCCAUCCCUGAUGUGCUCCAGCAAAGGCUACAUAACCAGGAUUCCUGCUUUGGGUCAGAAGUUGGACUAGGUCAAAAGCUCCCAAUUGUGGCUGCACAUUAGAAACUUGAAACAAAGCAUACAGACUCCUGGACCCUGUCCCAGAACCACAGAGUAAGGUCCAGGAGUGUGUAUUUUUAAAAAGCAUCCCCUUUGGGUAUAUACCCAGUAAUAGUAUUGCUGGGUCAAAUGUUAUUUCUGGUUCUAGAUGAUUUAGAACCACUUAAUCUUUGACUGUAACACUGGAAUUCUAGUAUUCUGAUCCAUGGUUUUACCCACCUGGCCAGUAAGGAAGGGAAGGAGGGAUUGAGGAAAGGAAGAACAAUGUACCAGAGCUCAUUAUGGAGCAGGCCCUGUGCUGCUUUCCUUAUGUCAUCUCACUGUAUUUUUCAGAACAACCUGGUGAGUUGCGAAGUGAUGUCCUCCACCCCAUUUCCCUGAGAAAGAAACUGGGGCUUGGGGAGUUUGGGGAUGGCCCAAGGUGACUGCCAGUCACUGGGAAGAUCUUUCCAGCUCCAGAUCCCAUGCUAGUUCAACUAUGCCAUAUUGCCCUCUUCUUGCCCACUCAACAAUCAUUUCUCCAAGUGCCGAUGGUGGGCCAGGCAAUGCAUUAGGUGGCAAGGAUUCUGCAAUGAUCAAGAUACAGUCCCAGGCUCAAGAAGCUUCGAAUCUAGAGAGGAGGAAGAAAAGUAAACAGUGACAUCACGGUGGAAGCAACAGGGUCAUAUGGGAGGGACACCCAACCCAGCCUUGUGUCAUCAGGGAAGGCUUCAGAGAGGAGGUGACAGCUAAGCUGGGGAAAAGAGAUUCCUAGGUGAAGGUGUAACAUCUACAGAGACCCAAAGAUCAGAGGGAGCCUAAGCCUACCAGGUGUGGGGAAAUGUGACUAGUUCAGAGGCUGGAGUGUGGGAUGCAAGGAGUGAAAUUGUAAGGUGGGGCUGGCCACGCUGAGACUUUGUCACUAACCUCAGAGAAACAGGAAGCAAGUAAGACUGAACAGAAGGGGGUGACAUAUGCAGAUGCACAUUUUAGUAGCUCAGACUGGCUGCGGAGAGGAGAAUGGAUUGGCGGAGAGAACACAAGGGAGGCUGUGGCAGUCAUUCAGCUAAGAGGGGAUGACAAGCCACACAAAAGUGGUGGCACGACAGAAGAUGUGCAGCAUAGAGAUGAUGUUUUUUCACUCAUUCUUUCAGUAAAUAAUAUUACAGAGCCCUUCUUAUGUGCUGGCCAUUCUGCCUAGGCUGGACAUACAAGCAUGGGUGAAAACAAACAUAGUCUCUGCUGCCGUGAAGUUCACACUGUUAGCGCUCUGCUAGGGAAAAGAUGUUUAGGGAAGUAAUUUCAAAAGUAUUAAAUAAGGCAAGGCGUAGUGGCUCGUGCCUGUAAUCCCAGCACUUUGGGAGGUAGAGG
RNAcentral lists this long non-coding RNA (7672 nucleotides) under Homo sapiens (human). Its description in RNAcentral is "HSALNT0308125". Lineage: Eukaryota; Metazoa; Chordata; Mammalia; Primates; Hominidae. The record is from RNAcentral.